Molecule: long non-coding RNA, 292 nt
Filed under: Musa acuminata (dwarf banana)
Lineage: Eukaryota; Viridiplantae; Streptophyta; Magnoliopsida; Zingiberales; Musaceae
Description: long non-coding RNA (MACU_LNC006871)
Source: RNAcentral
GAGGUUUUUUCUUAGAGAAGAAUUAGGAGUUGUAAGGGAAUAGGAGUCUUGAGUAGGAGUUCUAUUAGGAGUUGGUUAGAAGUAAGAGUCUUAAGUAGGAGUCAUAUUAGGAGUUAGGGUUUAGAAGCCCUAUAAAUAGCCAUGUAUUCCUCCUCUUUUCUCAAGCAAUAGAUGAAUCUUUUCUGCAGCCUUUGAGCAGCAACUUGGAGGGAGGAACCCCUAUAGAGUUCCAAGGAGGCCGAUCCCCUAAAGAGAUCAACCCCAAGUUUAGAAUCUGCUAGGGUUCUAACAC